RNAcentral lists this ribosomal RNA (404 nucleotides) under uncultured beta proteobacterium. Its description in RNAcentral is "bacterial SSU rRNA". It matches the Rfam family "Bacterial small subunit ribosomal RNA", at positions 9 to 416 of the family's 1533-position model. Lineage: Bacteria; Pseudomonadati; Pseudomonadota; Betaproteobacteria. The record is from RNAcentral.
GAGUUUGAUCGUGGCUCAGAUUGAACGCUGGCGGAAUGCUUUACACAUGCAAGUCGAGCGGCAGCGCGGGGCAACCUGGCGGCGAGCGGCGAACGGGUGAGUAAUGCAUCGGAACAUGUCCAUGUCGUGGGGGAUAGCCCGGCGAAAGCCGGAUUAAUACCGCAUACGCCCGAGAGGGGAAAGUGGGGGACCGCAAGGCCUCACGCGAUUGGGUUGGCCGAUGUCCGAUUAGCUAGUUGGCGGGGUAAAGGCCCACCAAGGCGAUGAUCGGUAGCUGGUCUGAGAGGAUGAUCAGCCACACUGGGACUGAGACACGGCCCAGACUCCUACGGGAGGCAGCAGUGGGGAAUUUUGGACAAUGGGGGAAACCCUGAUCCAGCCAUUCCGCGUGAGUGAAGAAGGCC